UAGUAAAAUUUUAAAAGUAUUCCCUGCCCUAUGAUUAAUUAAAUGGCUGCAGUAUCCUGACUGUGCAAAGGUAGCAUAGUAAUUAGUCUUUUAAUUGGAGUCUUGUAUGAAUGGGUUAAUGAGAUAUUAAUUUUAUUUUUAAUAAUUUUAUAAUUUAAUAUGUGUGUAAAAAAGCUCACUUUUUUUUUUGGGACGAUAAGACCCUAUAGAACUUUAUUUUUGGUAUAAUUUAUAUUAUUUUAGUUUUAAGUUAAUUUAUUUAUAUUAAAAUUUUAAUUGGGGUGAUUAAUAAAUUAAACUUUAUUUUAUAUUUUCAUUAAUUUAUGUAUUUAUUGAUCCAUUUUAGAUGAUUUUAAGAUUAAGUUACCUUAGGGAUAACAGCGUAAUUUUAAUGGGGAGUUCAUAUUUAUAUUAAAGUUUGCGACCUCGAUGUUGAAUUAAGAUAAGAUUGAGGGGUAG
This 459-nucleotide ribosomal RNA is filed under the name Ochrostacta physocephala. RNAcentral describes it as "partial large subunit ribosomal RNA". The record is from RNAcentral. Lineage: Eukaryota; Metazoa; Arthropoda; Insecta; Hemiptera; Cicadellidae.